Perca fluviatilis (European perch) is the source of this 1503-nucleotide long non-coding RNA. RefSeq lists it as uncharacterized. Lineage: Eukaryota; Metazoa; Chordata; Actinopteri; Perciformes; Percidae. The transcript has 2 exons. The record is from RefSeq and is a predicted model, not a curated record.
AGAGCCUUGUAGAGACCAGCUGAAGGAACAUCUUCUCGGAGCUGAAGCUCUGAGAUGAGUGCAGAGUUUCCGGACCACAACGGAGAAGUUCCUUCACUCCAUUCAUGCCUUCUUCUCUCCGUACUCACUGUAUAGUCACAGUAUUGUAUGUCACGAAAUAAUUUAAUAAAAAAGUAAGUAAUAGUACGUAUUAUGUCAAAAAAAGCUCAGAAAAGUCAUACAUAAUGUCAAAAAGUGUUAUUACAUAGUUAUUACAUUGUUAUAACAUGUAUUAUGACAAAAAUCUAUCAAAAAGUCAAAAAAAGUGUUAUUACAUAGUUAUUACAUUGUUAUAACAUGUAUUAAUGACAAAAAAAUCUAUCAAAAAGUUUAAAAAAAUGUCAAAAAGUGUUAUUACACAGUUGUACACAGUACAUGCCAUAAAAGUGGGCGUAAAUUAUUUUUUUGUCCAUGAAAAAAAAAUUCAAAAAAAAAAUCACUUUUUUUUUUUUUUUCUUAAAUUAGGAUGUUCUCUUCCUUUGUCCUACUCUGGUCUCUUUCUUUCUCUGAGGUGUCCUACUCUUCUCUGAGGUGUCCUUCUCUGGUCUCUCCCUUUCUCUGAGUUGUUCUACUCUGGUCUCUCCCUUUCUCUGAGAUGUCCUACUCUUCUCUGAGUUGUCCUACUCUGGUCUCUCCCUUUCUCUGAGUUGUCCUACUCUGGUCUCUCCCUUUCUCUGAGGUGUCCUACUCUGGUCUCUCCCUUUCUCUGAAGUGUCCUACUCUUCUCUGAGUUGUCCUACUCUGGUCUCUCCCUUUCUCUGAGGUGUCCUACUCUUCUCUGAGUUGUCCUACUCUGGUCUCUCCCUUUCUCGGAGGUGUCCUACUCUUCUCUGAGUUGUCCCACUCUGGUCUCUCCCUUUCUCUGAGUUGUCCUACUCUGGUCUCUCCCUUUCUCGGAGGUGUCCUACUCUUCUCUGAGUUGUCCUACUCUGGUCUCUCCCUUUCUCUGAGUUGUCCUACUCUGGUCUCUCCCUUUCUCGGAGGUGUCCUACUCUUCUCUGAGUUUUCCUACUCUGGUCUCUCCCUUUCUCUGAGUUUUCCUACUCUGGUCUCUGCCUGUCCUUGUCUUAAUACUCUCCUACUCUCUUCUUGCCUGCACUUCCUUUCCUAGCCUCUCUUUCCUAUCUGGGGGCCUAUCUAAGUGCACAUACGCUGAUACCGAGCUGGUCUUGAACCCGUCACUGGCGCCUUUAGUGGCGAGGACAAACCAACCGCGCCACCAGCGCACGUACGCAUGCAGCUGUUCUCCGGGUGUAUUUGUCUUUGUCAUUCUGGGUGUAAAGCUCAAAAUAAAUUGACUGUUCUUGUGUUGGAACCCAUAACCUUUGUGUUUCUUAACCAGCGUUCCAUCACUCUGAGCUAUCAGAUCUGAUCACCAAGCUCAUGGUUAGUUGUGUAUUUGUCUUUGUCAUUCUGGGUGUAAAACUCAAAAUAAAUUGUUUAUUCCUGUAUUGGAACCCAUAA